Molecule: ribosomal RNA, 763 nt
Filed under: uncultured Glomus
Lineage: Eukaryota; Fungi; Glomeromycota; Glomeromycetes; Glomerales; Glomeraceae
Description: eukaryotic LSU rRNA
Rfam family: Eukaryotic large subunit ribosomal RNA
Source: RNAcentral
GCAUAUCAAUAAGCGGAGGAAAAGAAAAUAACAAUGAUUCCCCUAGUAACUGCGAGUGAAGAGGGACAAGCUCAAAUUUUAAAUCUGUUAGGUUUCACCUAACCGAGUUGUAAUUUGAAGAGGUGUUUUCCGCGUUUCUGAUCAGUCCAAGUCCUUUGGAAUAAGGCAUCAUGGAGGGUGAGAAUCCCGUUCGGCUGAUCAUGAUCGUUUUAUGAUACACCUUCAAAGAGUCAAGUUGUUUGGGAUUGCAGCUUAAAAUGGGAGGUAAAUUUCUCCUAAGGCUAAAUAUUGGCGAGAGACCGAUAGCGAACAAGUACCGUGAGGGAAAGAUGAAAAGUACUUUGAAAAGAGAGUUAAAUAGUACGUGAAAUUGUUGAAAGGGAAACGAUUGAAGCCAGUCGUACUGACGGGUAAUCAACCUUUCGGGGGCGAUUAUAUGGAACGUGUUGGAGCCUAACGGUCCUCAUGCCUGCAUAUUCGUUCACCUUAGGUGUACUUGCCCGUGUGGUAGGUUAACAUCAAUUUCGGACGUCAUAAAAUGACGGGAGGAAUGUAGCUUCGGUCUCGUACUGAAGUGUUAUAGCCUCUGGUAGAUGUGACGACCGAGAUUGAGGAUUGCAACGGAUACCCCUCGGGGCUACCCGCCUGGCCUCUGAAGGUCGAUAUGGUGCCGAAAGCGUGCUUACGGUCAUCAGAAUUGGCAGUCAAUAGGUUAGAACGGGUUAAAUUCGUUAAGGAUGUUGACGUAAUGGCUUUAAACGAC